Molecule: ribosomal RNA, 774 nt
Filed under: uncultured bacterium
Lineage: Bacteria
Description: bacterial SSU rRNA
Rfam family: Bacterial small subunit ribosomal RNA
Source: RNAcentral
AUGACGAGUGGCGGACGGGUGAGUAACGCGCUAGGAAUUUGCCCAGUCGUGGGGGACAACUCGGGGAAACUCGAGCUAAUACCGCAUACGCCCUACGGGGGAAAGCGGGGGAUCUUCGGACCUCGCGCGAUUGGAUGAGCCUGCGUUGGAUUAGCUAGUUGGUGGGGUAAAGGCCUACCAAGGCGACGAUCCAUAGCUGGUCUGAGAGGACGAUCAGCCACACUGGGACUGAGACACGGCCCAGACUCCUACGGGAGGCAGCAGUGGGGAAUAUUGGACAAUGGGGGCAACCCUGAUCCAGCAAUGCCGCGUGUGUGAAGAAGGCCUGCGGGUUGUAAAGCACUUUCAGUUGGGAAGAAAAGUCGGGUGUUAAUAGCGCCUGAAAUUGACGUCACCGACAGAAGAAGCACCGGCUAACUCCGUGCCAGCAGCCGCGGUAAUACGGAGGGUGCGAGCGUUAAUCGGAAUUACUGGGCGUAAAGGGCGCGUAGGCGGCGAGAUGAGUCAGAUGUGAAAGCCCCGGGCUUAACCUGGGAACGGCAUUUGAUACUGUCUUGCUCGAGUUUGAUAGAGGGGAGUGGAAUUUCCGGUGUAGCGGUGAAAUGCGUAGAGAUCGGAAGGAACACCAGUGGCGAAGGCGACUCCCUGGAUCAAAACUGACGCUGAGGUGCGAAAGCGUGGGUAGCAAACAGGAUUAGAUACCCUGGUAGUCCACGCUGUAAACGAUGAGAACUAGCCGUUGGACGCAAAUAAGUGUUUAGUGGCGCAGCUAAC